AUGAACGCUGGCGGCGUGCCUAAUACCUGCAAGUCGAGCGAACAGACGAGGAGCUUGCUCCUCUGACGUUAGCGGCGGCCGGGUGAGUAACACGUGGAUAACCUACCUAUAAGACUGGGAUAACUUCGGGAAACCGGAGCUAAUACCGGAUAAUAUAUUGAACCGCAUGGUUCAAUAGUGAAAGACGGUUUUGCUGUCACUUAUAGAUGGAUCCGCGCCGCAUUAGCUAGUUGGUAAGGUAACGGCUUACCAAGGCAACGAUGCGUAGCCGACCUGAGAGGGUGAUCGGCCACACUGGAACUGAGACACGGUCCAGACUCCUACGGGAGGCAGCAGUAGGGAAUCUUCCGCAAUGGGCGAAAGCCUGACGGAGCAACGCCGCGUGAGUGAUGAAGGUCUUCGGAUCGUAAAACUCUGUUAUUAGGGAAGAACAAAUGUGUAAGUAACUAUGCACGUCUUGACGGUACCUAAUCAGAAAGCCACGGCUAACUACGUG
This 496-nucleotide ribosomal RNA is filed under the name uncultured bacterium. RNAcentral describes it as "partial 16S ribosomal RNA". It matches the Rfam family "Bacterial small subunit ribosomal RNA", at positions 29 to 507 of the family's 1533-position model. The record is from RNAcentral.